RNAcentral lists this unclassified non-coding RNA (157 nucleotides) under uncultured Ascomycota. RNAcentral's name for it is "sequence contains ITS2". Lineage: Eukaryota; Fungi; Ascomycota. The record is from RNAcentral.
UGACCCUCAAGUAUUACUUGGUGUUGGGUAAGGUCCUAGGGGGACCUACCCGUAACUUGUAGGCGGUUAUAGCCCGUACCCUCAGCGUAGCAAGCUCACGCACCCGCUCGGGGAUAGGGUGUCUGGCCAGCCAGGUGAAAACCAAACCCUUCUUAAG